This 440-nucleotide ribosomal RNA is filed under the name uncultured bacterium. RNAcentral describes it as "partial 16S ribosomal RNA". It matches the Rfam family "Bacterial small subunit ribosomal RNA", at positions 338 to 795 of the family's 1533-position model. The record is from RNAcentral.
CCUACGGGAGGCAGCAGUGGGGAAUAUUGCACAAUGGGGGAAACCCUGAUGCAGCGACGCCGCGUGAGUGAAGAAGUAUUUCGGUAUGUAAAGCUCUAUCAGCAGGGAAGAAAAUGACGGUACCUGAUUAAGAAGCCCCGGCUAACUACGUGCCAGCAGCCGCGGUAAUACGUAGGGGGCAAGCGUUAUCCGGAUUUACUGGGUGUAAAGGGAGCGUAGACGGCAGGACAAGUCUGGAGUGAAAUGCCGGGGCUUAACCCCGGAAAUGCUUUGGAAACUGGGCAGCUAGAGUGCAGGAGAGGUAAGUGGAAUUCCUAGUGUAGCGGUGAAAUGCGUAGAUAUUAGGAGGAACCCCAGUGGCGAAGGCGGCUUACUGGACUGUAACUGACGUUGAGGCUCGAAAGCGUGGGGAGCGAACAGGAUUAGAUACCCGGGUAGUC